RNAcentral lists this ribosomal RNA (253 nucleotides) under uncultured bacterium. RNAcentral describes it as "partial 16S ribosomal RNA". It matches the Rfam family "Bacterial small subunit ribosomal RNA", at positions 524 to 776 of the family's 1533-position model. The record is from RNAcentral.
UACGUAGGUGGCAAGCGUUGUCCGGAUUUAUUGGGUUUAAAGGGUGCGUAGGCGGUUCUGUAAGUCAGUUGUGAAAUACUCUAGCUUAACUAGAGGGGUGCCAAUGAUACUGCAGAACUUGAGUACAGAUGAGGUAGGCGGAAUUGACGGUGUAGCGGUGAAAUGCAUAGAUAUCGUCAAGAACACCGAUAGCGAAGGCAGCUUACUGGGCUGUAACUGACGCUGAUGCACGAAAGUGUGGGGAGCAAACAGG